CUGGUUGCGGCGAGGUCUCUUCUCAAGUUCAACCACUUCCUCCUUCUCCUUCUCCUCCAACUCCGCCACCUUCCACUGACAAAGGUUUCGUUUCUUUAAAAUUACUGUAAUAAUUAAACCAUAAUAAUUAUAUAUAACUUUAUUUUUUUUCCAAUCCCGACGACAGUAACCGGGAAGAAGCGUGUGAGGAAAAACCCCUACAGAGGAAUCCGGCAACGUCCGUGGGGGAAAUGGGCAGCGGAGAUCCGUGAUCCGACUAAAGGUGUGCGUGUCUGGUUAGGUACUUUCAACACCGCCA
Molecule: long non-coding RNA, 298 nt
Filed under: Zostera marina
Lineage: Eukaryota; Viridiplantae; Streptophyta; Magnoliopsida; Alismatales; Zosteraceae
Description: long non-coding RNA (ZMAR_LNC003437)
Source: RNAcentral